UACGGAGGGCGCGAGCGUUAAUCGGAAUUACUGGGCGUAAAGCGCGCGUAGGCUGUUGUGUAAGUUGGGGGUGAAAUCCCACGGCUCAACCGUGGAACAGCCCUUGAUACUGCGCGACUUGAAUCCGGGAGAGGGUGGCGGAAUUCCAGGUGUAGGAGUGAAAUCCGUAGAUAUCUGGAGGAACAUCAGUGGCGAAGGCAGCUCACUGGACUGCAACUGACACUGAGGCUCGAAAGUGUGGGUAUCAAACAGG
This 253-nucleotide ribosomal RNA is filed under the name uncultured Desulfovibrio sp. RNAcentral describes it as "partial 16S ribosomal RNA". It matches the Rfam family "Bacterial small subunit ribosomal RNA", at positions 524 to 776 of the family's 1533-position model. The record is from RNAcentral. Lineage: Bacteria; Pseudomonadati; Thermodesulfobacteriota; Desulfovibrionia; Desulfovibrionales; Desulfovibrionaceae.